Long non-coding RNA from Xyrauchen texanus (razorback sucker), 279 nucleotides. RefSeq lists it as uncharacterized. The transcript has 3 exons. NCBI's taxonomy places the organism in Eukaryota, Metazoa, Chordata, Actinopteri, Cypriniformes, Catostomidae. The record is from RefSeq and is a predicted model, not a curated record.
AGAAAGAAGAAGAAGUUUGCCAUUCAAUCACGAGUUACAGUCAGACUCAGUACUAGUUUCAACAGCCUACAGUUAGCAAAGUCAUCGACUACCAUCGUUUAACUUCGGUUUUUGGCAAUCAAGUGUGGGAGGGACCUCAAGACAACUGUGUGGCGAAUGCUUGAGAGUAUCUUCUCUAAUCGCCUUUCCAUUAACACAACCUGGACUGGUGCAGGGGAAAAAGCAUGUUUUAGAGACAUGUUCCUGAAGACCAUUGUUCAAAGAGCCAUCCGGAAGAAC